Molecule: ribosomal RNA, 242 nt
Filed under: uncultured bacterium
Lineage: Bacteria
Description: partial 16S ribosomal RNA
Rfam family: Bacterial small subunit ribosomal RNA
Source: RNAcentral
AUUAACGCUAGCGGCAGGCAUACUACAUGCAAGUUGAACGGCAGCACAGGUAGCAAUACUGGGUGGCGAGUGGCGCACGGGUGCGUAACACGUAUGCAACCUACCCUAUACAGGCGAAUAACCUUUAGAAAUGAGGGCUAAUACGCCGUAGUAUUACAGAUGGGCAUCUAUUUGUAAUUAAAGAUUUAUCGGUAUAGGAUGGGCAUGCGUCCCAUUAGUUAGUUGGUAAGGUAACGGCUUAC